RNAcentral lists this long non-coding RNA (1596 nucleotides) under Betta splendens (Siamese fighting fish). Its description in RNAcentral is "lncRNA (ENSBSLG00000018264.1)". The record is from RNAcentral. Lineage: Eukaryota; Metazoa; Chordata; Actinopteri; Anabantiformes; Osphronemidae.
CUUUCUGUUUGAAUCAUGAAGAAUUCUUGGACAAAGUUCCGCUUCUCCAGGAUUCUUCCAAUCAGAAUUACAUCCCAGAUGCGGCGCAGCCACCAGGGGAUCCGUGGCUGCAAGGUGGACCAUCCCGAGCUGUCCUGUCACUGCCUUUGUGCCUGCGCCUGUGUGGAAACAUCGACUCUGGAAUGUCCGAACCAUCCAGUGGAGAGUCAAUGGGGGAGAUGAAACUAUACGCCAAUUGUCACCUCCAGCAAGGCGUCACUUUUGGACCCUUUGUAGGAGAACUGUGCAGGGGACAGAUGCCAACCAAUCUCAAAUAUUCCUGGGCUAUUAGAGAAGAUGCUGCUUUCAUCUAUGUUGAUGCUUCUGAUGAAAAUAAAUCCACCUGGAUGAGACCACAGCCAGUCGCAGAGCCCCAUGCCUGUCAUCACUGACGUGUCAACAAUUUCCCACACGAAUGCCUCUUACGACUCAGGUGAGCCCGACCCAACUGGUCGACCGCUUGACCAGAACAAGAGGUGAGGUGAAAGAGGUGAACUGUGCUGGGGAAGCAGCAGACCUCCAAAAGCACUUGGCGAACAAACAUCACAUCAGACCACGUGACAGCAACAAGGAUCAAUGUGUAGGUCAGGGACGCUCUCGGCCACCGAUGGUUACAAGCGGUCUGUCUGCUUAAAUGACAGAUGCCAUCACAAGCUUUUUGAUCACAGAUCUCCAGCCCCCUGCUAUAGUUGGAGGGGGGGGGGGGGCUUCAAACAACUGAUCCAUACACUCAAGCCCUCCUGCAAGGAGCUGCCAUCACCCUUCCUGCUGGAGGACCUCCUGAAAGAACAACACAGCAAAGGCAAAAUGAACUUGGCUCAACUGCUGAGGAUGAAAACGGGAAACAAAGAGAAAGUAUAUGACCACGCUGCUCCCCUCGAGUUUGAGCCCAGGGUACGCGGGCAACCUUCCAGUCACGGCAGGGAAGUUCCUCACUUUGUCACUUUAAGUGUGGACAUUUGGUUUCACAGUGGGCAGGGCAACACUCAACGGUACCUCACACUAUGGGCACACUACAUAGACCGCAAUUUUAGCUUUCAUAAUCUUGCCCGAGGAACACAAAGGCUGAGAUGGAGUGGAGUGAGACAUUGCAGCCUUCGGUUGGUGGAGGCCCAAGUGAAAGCCAUGGCACAGGAAUGGGGAAUUUCUCAGCCUAAUCUGCUCUUGUUUGGAGGGGAAGGAAGGAAAAAGAUCAGGCUGGUGCCAACAGAGAAAGAUGCCGAGGCAGGAUGCGUCUCUCCUCCAAACUCAACAACGUUUCUGGAGACGGAGGACUCCCCUGAUGAACCAUCUUGCUGGGAGCAUGUCCAUUCUAACGAAGAACUGCAGACAGUGCCGUGUUUCUUCAGCGCUUUGCAGAGCUGCAUUGAAGAAGUUAUGUCACAUAAUGUAAUUUCCAAAACGCUUAACCAGUUCCACAGUUUUCUCUCAAGCCUGCUCCAUCCACCAGCUCAAAGCAAAAGCUCAUAUCAGCAUCUCGCCCAGAGCCGCUUGCAGACUUUGACGAGAGAAGAACAGACGGACCUGAGUUCAUGGGCUCAUAGUCGACCAACCUGA